UGGCUCAGAUGGUAAAGCGUCUGCUUGCAGUGCAGGAGACCCGGGUUCAAUCCCUGG
Molecule: transfer RNA, 57 nt
Organism: Ovis aries (sheep)
Lineage: Eukaryota; Metazoa; Chordata; Mammalia; Artiodactyla; Bovidae
Rfam family: tRNA
About the family: Transfer RNA (tRNA) molecules are approximately 80 nucleotides in length. Their secondary structure includes four short double-helical elements and three loops (D, anti-codon, and T loops).
Source: Rfam